This 448-nucleotide ribosomal RNA is filed under the name Lancefieldella parvula. RNAcentral describes it as "bacterial SSU rRNA". It matches the Rfam family "Bacterial small subunit ribosomal RNA", at positions 40 to 503 of the family's 1533-position model. Lineage: Bacteria; Bacillati; Actinomycetota; Coriobacteriia; Coriobacteriales; Atopobiaceae. The record is from RNAcentral.
CGGGCGUCUUAACAUGCAAGUCGAACGAUUAAAGCACCUUCGGGUGUGUAUAAAGUGGCGAACGGCUGAGUAACACGUGGGCAACCUGCCCCUUUCAUUGGGAUAGCCACGGGAAACCGUGGAUAAUACCGAAUACUUCGAGACUUCCGCAUGGAAGACUCGAGAAAGCUCCGGCGGAGAGGGAUGGGCCCGCGGCCUGUUAGCUUGUUGGUGGGGUAACGGCCUACCAAGGCAAUGAUGGGUAGCUGGGUUGAGAGACCGACCAGCCAGAUUGGGACUGAGACACGGCCCAGACUCCUACGGGAGGCAGCAGUGGGGAAUCUUGCACAAUGGGCGAAAGCCUGAUGCAGCGACGCCGCGUGCGGGAUGAAGGCCUUCGGGUUGUAAACCGCUUUCAGCAGGGACGAGGCGAAAGUGACGGUACCUGCAGAAGAAGCCCGGCUAAUAC